Molecule: ribosomal RNA, 554 nt
Filed under: Hymenogaster muticus
Lineage: Eukaryota; Fungi; Basidiomycota; Agaricomycetes; Agaricales; Hymenogastraceae
Description: eukaryotic LSU rRNA
Rfam family: 5.8S ribosomal RNA (bases 212-364)
Source: RNAcentral
UGUUGCUGGCCCUCUCGGGGGGCAUGUGCACACCCGCCAUCUCCAUCUCUCCACCUGUGCACCUCUUGUAGACCUGGAAUACACUUUCCGAGGCAACUCGGUCGGGAGGAAUGCUGUAGCUUUCUUUGGACUUCCAAGCCUACGUUUUUCAUAUACCCGUAGUAUGUAACAGAAUGUAUCAUUUGGGCCUCAGUGCCUAUAAACCAUAUACAACUUUCAGCACGGAUCUCUUGGCUCUCGCAUCGAUGAAGAACGCAGCGAAAUGCGAUAAGUAAUGUGAAUUGCAGAAUUCAGUGAAUCAUCGAAUCUUUGAACGCACCUUGCGCUCCUUGGUAUUCCGAGGAGCAUGCCUGUUUGAGUGUCAUUUAAUUCUCAACCUUAUUAGCUUUUGCUGAUAAUGGCUUGGAUGUGGGGGGUUAUAUUUUGCUGGCUUCUUUCGCAGAGGUCAGCUCCCCUGAAAUGCAUUAGCUGGUGCCCCCGCGUGGACUGUCUAUUUGGUGUGAUAAUUAUCUACGGCCGUGGAUGUCUGCAAUUGGUUUUGGCACUGCUUCUAA